UCCUACGGGAGGCUGCAGUCGAGAAUCUUCGGCAAUGGGGGAAACCCUGACCGAGCGACGCCGCGUGCGGGAUGAAGGCCUUCUGGUUGUAAACCGCUGUCGUAGAGGAGGAAAUGCAGGGGGGUUCUCCCUCCUGUUUGACCUAUUCUAGGAGGAAGUACGGGCUAAGUUCGUGCCAGCAGCCGCGGUAAGACGAACCGUACAAACGUUACUCGGAAUUACUGGGCUUAAAGGGUGCGUAGGCUGCGCGGAAAGUUGGGUGUGAAAGCCCUCGGCUCAACCGAGGAAUUGCAUCCAAAACUACCGUGCUCGAGGGAGACAGAGGUGAGUGGAACUCAAGGUGGAGCGGUGAAAUGCGUUGAUAUCUUGAGGAACACCGGUGGCGAAAGCGACUCACUGGGUCUUUUCUGACGCUGAGGCACGAAAGCUAAGGUAGCAAACGGGAUUAGAUACCCCAGUAGUC
Molecule: ribosomal RNA, 463 nt
Filed under: uncultured bacterium
Lineage: Bacteria
Description: bacterial SSU rRNA
Rfam family: Bacterial small subunit ribosomal RNA
Source: RNAcentral